UUUGCUCGGCCUCUUGUUUACGCCGCUGUAUUUUAACAUUGGUGAUAAUGACGGCGUUACUUCCGGGGUCCUCACUGAGAGUGCCGUACAAGAACGUGUGUGUGAGCAUAAACAGAAGGUAGAAGAAGAAGAAGACGAGUCAGAUUUAAGAGAGGACUGUCGCUUGGACCUGCAGCAAAGUGUCUUCAUAAAUUCUAAUACACAGUCGCUCCCUGUGGGAAACAGCGAGAGAGAGGGAGAAAGAAAGGGAAUGAAUGCAUUUCCUUGUUAUCUAUCUGUCUCUCACUGUCUUUCCCCACUGAGGGAAUAAAUGUCUCCCCCUCUCCUGUGUUUUCCUCGGUGUGGGCUGACAGCGCAGCAGAUGGUGGUUUAAGCAGUGAAUUUAUGAGCGCCACAGUCUUAAUGUUGCAGAAAGAAAAGAGAAGGACUCGCAUCAAACGCCACUGACAAAUGCACUCGCUAAUAUUAAUGCACUCCUCAUUCAUCCAACAUGCUGCCUAAUUGCUUUCCUGUACACAGUAAUGUGGCACCUGCUGCUCAAGUCCGGCAUCAGGAGAGGUGGAGAACUGGGGGAGCGCUGGUGGAGGCUCGGAGGGAAAAAAAAGAGAAAAGGAUGAAAGAAAGAAAGAAAAAAAAGAGGUGGAGAGCACUCGGUAAACAAUCACUCAUGAGAGGAAGAAGAGAGAAGCCGUCACAUUGUCACGAGAUACUUUGGUGUGGAAGUGGAACAUCAAACGUCCAAAAAGAGAGACUGGGUCAAACAUUUUCUGAAGACAUCGUGGAUUUAAACAGGUGUGGAUUUUAUUAGGUUUCUGGCCUUGGGAGGUGAAGUGGAGGAAAUCAAUCACACAGUGUGUGACACACGGAGUCCUUUACUGACUGCUGAGACUGACAUAAUGACAAAUACUCAGUAAUGUUCUCGUUCCAAGCACAAAGACUUGCUCCCGUUGAUUAAAUUCUCGGGGAAAUUCUCCAAACUUUAACACACACACACACACACACACAUGUGUGUGCAGUUAAGAUCUCAGUCCACCUCGUCCUGUUUGUGGUGCAAUGAAGGGAACGAGGAGCCGACGUGCCGUGUUCUUCCACACCUUCAAGUUCCUCUGA
Molecule: long non-coding RNA, 1110 nt
Organism: Solea senegalensis (Senegalese sole)
Lineage: Eukaryota; Metazoa; Chordata; Actinopteri; Pleuronectiformes; Soleidae
Exons: 4
Source: RefSeq, a predicted model, not a curated record